Molecule: unclassified non-coding RNA, 381 nt
Filed under: rhizosphere metagenome
Description: partial ribosomal RNA internal transcribed spacer region
Source: RNAcentral
GUAGGUGAACCUGCGGAAGGAUCAUUAAAGAAAAUUAUAUGUCGGAUUAUUUUGAAAUUGUUUGUGAAUUUAUUUUUACUGCUUUUUUAAAAAUAAUCCUUCAUUAAAUAUUCAUUUAACACCGACGAGUAUUUAAUUAUACAAGUCGUUUAUUAUAGGGAUUGAUAUUUUUUUUUCGGAGUUUUUUUUAGUUGGCAAAAAUUUAUUUUUGUUAACGUCGGAUUCCCUUCAUGUUCGGAUAUUUAUUUAUUUAAAUUUCUUGAUAUGAAAAAACCAUAAAAAACGACAUUUUAGAAUCAGAGUUAUAUGUACGUGAUUGUUUGUUUUCCAUUUGGAAAAAAAAAUGUAUAACAACUUUCAGCAAUGGAUCUCUUGGCUCUC